CCAUUAGUACCGGUUCGUGGCACCAACCGGGACUAAAGGUCUCAUUUGAACCGGGACUAAUGCCUGUACGGUGCCCUAGCCGCCUGAACCAGACUAAUGCUCUUUUCUGGCCGAAUCAAAGCCAUGUUUUCUACUAGUGGAAGAGGACGACCCAUGAAGAGGCUGCACCGGUUCUGCGGCAACGUUGACCGCUACAAUUUCUUCACCGAGCUGGGGAANNNNNNNNNNCAUCUGGAAGGAUUUUAAUUUCUGAAGUUUUUAUCAUUUUCUUUUGCUUUUUACAAAACUGAAAAGGCGAUCCGGGGAGAGGGGGGUAGAGUUUGAAAAUGGGACCUUUAGUACCGGUUCGUGCCAUGAACCGGUACUAAUGCCUCAAACCCCAUUAGUACCGGUUGGUGGCUCAAAUCGGGACUAAAGGUCUCAUUUGAACCGGGACUAAUGCCUGUACGGUGCCCUAGCCGCCUGAACCAGACUAAUGCUCUUUUCUGGCCGAAUCAAAGCCAUGUUUUCUACUAGUGGAAGAGGACGACCCAUGAAGAGGCUGCACCGGUUCUGCGGCAACGUUGACCGCUACAAUUUCUUCACCGAGCUGGGGAAGAGAUAGACAUGUGGGUUAAUGGUGCUCGCUCAGGAUCCCCGCAGUGGCAUCUUGCAGAACUGCAGCGAGAGGGUGUCACACUUCAAUUCUUAUUCUAGCUAGCUCUCCUUCUCUGCUUGCGUUGGACUUGUUCUACAGCAGAGUAGAAUACAGUAGGGAGGGAGGCUAGAGGCUAGGGGAGAAUCUGGAGUGAGCUAGAGUGCCGUGCGUGCACUUUUAUCACGGGAAAGUUUGUCGCGGGUGGCAGUCGACACAGCCAGCGGGGGAGAAGUGCAAGCGGCGUCGGCCGGCCGUGACGGCGUCCAUUACCAAUGAUAUGGCAGAAUAAUGGCCCACCAAGACCGAUCGUGCGGCUGCGUCAAAACUCCGAACUUGAGCUAGCGGUGCCGUCGGCUGCUGAAUACUGUCGAGCACAAGGUCAAUAUGUACAGCUCUGAUUUUUUUUUUUUGCUGGAGUGAGCAUAGUUUUUUUUAGGGAAGAGUGAGCAUAGUUUUUCCGCGGUUAUAAUUGAAGUUCAACGAUAUCUUGCUGUCGAUUUUAUGUAAAGUUUAAGUUGAUGCUGCUGCAGGAUGUGGC
This 1175-nucleotide long non-coding RNA is filed under the name Triticum aestivum (bread wheat). RNAcentral describes it as "long non-coding RNA (TAES_LNC023504)". The record is from RNAcentral. Lineage: Eukaryota; Viridiplantae; Streptophyta; Magnoliopsida; Poales; Poaceae.